This 774-nucleotide ribosomal RNA is filed under the name uncultured Neocallimastigales. Its description in RNAcentral is "partial large subunit ribosomal RNA". It matches the Rfam family "Eukaryotic large subunit ribosomal RNA", at positions 18 to 616 of the family's 3401-position model. Lineage: Eukaryota; Fungi; Neocallimastigomycota; Neocallimastigomycetes; Neocallimastigales. The record is from RNAcentral.
UCAGACGAUGCGUCAUGCAUAUCAAUAAGCGGAGGAAAAGAAACUAACAAGGAUUCCCCUAGUAACGGCGAGUGAAGCGGGAAGAGCUCAAAUUUGAAAUCUUAAAGGGUUUCCCCUUACGAAUUGUAGUUUAAAGAAGUGUUUUCUGUUGAGGUUUUGGUAAAGGUUCUUUGGAAUAGGACAUCAUAGAGGGUGAGAAUCCCGUAUUUGACCUUUACUUUCAACUUUGUGAUACACUUUCAAAGAGUCGGAUUGUUUGGGAAUGCAGUCCAAAAUGGGUGGUAAAUUUCAUCUAAAGCUAAAUAUUGGCGAGAGACCGAUAGCGAACAAGUACCGUGAGGGAAAGAUGAAAAGAACUUUGAAAAGAGAGUUAAACAGUACGUGAAAUUGUCAAAAGGGAAGCGUUUGACACCAGUGUUGUUUUUCUGAAAAUCAAUUAAAGAACUGUUUAUGCUAAGCUGUUUAGACUUUAUCAGCUAUCUGUUUAGUUUUGAGCUUUUCUUUAAUGCACUUUUCAGUUAACAAGUCAACAUCAAUUUCUUUUGCUGUAAAAAAGCUUGAGGAAGGUGGCUUGAGAUUCGUCUUAAGUGUUUAUAGCCUCUUGCCUAUGCAGUCGGAGAGACUGAGGUCUGCAGCGUAGAUCCUUCGGGGCUAAAUGCAUUUGUGCUAAGUUAUAGCAUUUUAUAGACAACUUGUUGACUAUGAUUUGUCUUGUAGCUUACUCGCUUAUGUUAUUUUACCUACGCUUAGGAUGUUGAGCGCAUGUCUCUCUCU